This 303-nucleotide signal recognition particle RNA is filed under the name Pteropus alecto (black flying fox). RNAcentral's name for it is "Metazoan signal recognition particle RNA". It matches the Rfam family "Metazoan signal recognition particle RNA". From Rfam's summary of the family: The signal recognition particle (SRP) is a universally conserved ribonucleoprotein. The record is from Rfam by way of RNAcentral. Lineage: Eukaryota; Metazoa; Chordata; Mammalia; Chiroptera; Pteropodidae.
GCUGGCACGGUGGCACGCACCUGUAGUCCCAGCUACUCAGGAGGCUGAGGCAGGAAAAUCACUUGAGCCCUAGAGUUCUGGGCUGUAGUGUGCUAUGCCAACUGGGUGCCUGCGCUAAGUUCAGUGCCAAUAUGGUGACCUCCAUGGAGUGGGGGACCACCAGGUUGCCUAAGGAGGGGUGAACCGGCCCAGGUCGGAAACAGAGUAGGUCAAAACUCCUGUGCUGAUCAGUAGUAGUAGGAUCACAACUAUGAAUAAUCACUGCACUCUUGGCCUGGGCAACAUAGCAAAGUCCUGUCCCUA